This 407-nucleotide ribosomal RNA is filed under the name uncultured bacterium. Its description in RNAcentral is "partial 16S ribosomal RNA". It matches the Rfam family "Bacterial small subunit ribosomal RNA", at positions 30 to 526 of the family's 1533-position model. The record is from RNAcentral.
AUUGAACGCUGGCGGCAGGCCUAACACAUGCAAGUCGAGCGGAGCGGCGGACGGGUGCGUAAUGCCUAGGAAUCUGCCUGGUAGUGGGGGAUAACGUCCGGAAACGGGCGCUAAUACCGCAUACUAUCAGAUGAGCCUAGGUCGGAUUAGCUAGUGGGUGGGGUAAAGGCCUACCAAGGCGACGAUCCUGAACUGGUCUGAGAGGAUAAUGAGUCACACGGGAAUUGAGACACGGUCCAGCCUCUUACGGGAGGCAGCAUUGGGGAAUAUUGGACAAUGGGCGAAAGCCGGAUCCAGCCAUGCGGGGUGUUUGAGGAAGGUCUUCGGAUUGUAAAGCCCUUUAAGUUGGGAGGCGUUACCAACAGAGUAAGCACCGGCUAACUUCGUGCCAGCAGCCGCGGUAAUAC